RNAcentral lists this non-coding RNA (217 nucleotides) under Paenibacillus sp. Its description in RNAcentral is "T-box sequence". It matches the Rfam family "T-box leader". From Rfam's summary of the family: Uncharged tRNA acts as the effector for transcription antitermination of genes in the T-box leader family. T-boxes are found upstream of many aminoacyl-tRNA synthetase genes and some amino acid biosynthetic genes usually in Gram-positive bacteria. The anticodon of a specific tRNA base pairs to a specifier sequence within the T-box motif, and the NCCA acceptor tail of the tRNA base pairs to a conserved bulge in the T-box antiterminator hairpin. The record is from RNAcentral. Lineage: Bacteria; Bacillati; Bacillota; Bacilli; Caryophanales; Paenibacillaceae.
CAAGCAUCGAUGAGCGGGAGAGUAGUUAACGUGUUCUAGUCCACAGCGAGCCGGGUAAGUGCAAGCCGGUACAGAUCACCUAAUGAAGCGCACCCGUGAGAUGGACUUCUGAACCUAAGUAGGAAGUCCCGGCUAAAGACCGUUAUCCUGUAAGGUGGCUAAACAUCUGUUUAGCAACGAGAGUGGUACCGCGAGCGCUAAAGCUCUCGUCUCUUUU